Molecule: ribosomal RNA, 468 nt
Filed under: uncultured bacterium
Lineage: Bacteria
Description: partial 16S ribosomal RNA
Rfam family: Bacterial small subunit ribosomal RNA
Source: RNAcentral
GACGAACGCUGGCGGCGUGCUUAACACAUGCAAGUCGAACGGAAAGGCCCUGCUUUUGUGGGGUGCUCGAGUGGCGAACGGGUGAGUAACACGUGAGUAACCUGCCCUUGACUUUGGGAUAACUUCAGGAAACUGGGGCUAAUACCGGAUAGGAGCUCCUGCUGCAUGGUGGAGGUUGGAAAGUUUCGGCGGUUGGGGAUGGACUCGCGGCUUAUCAGCUUGUUGGUGGGGUAGUGGCUUACCAAGGCUUUGACGGGUAGCCGGCCUGAGAGGGUGACCGGCCACAUUGGGACUGAGAUACGGCCCAGACUCCUACGGGAGGCAGCAGUGGGGAAUAUUGCACAAUGGGCGGAAGCCUGAUGCAGCAACGCCGCGUGCGGGAUGACGGCCUUCGGGUUGUAAACCGCUUUCGCAUGUGACGAAGCGUGAGUGACGGUAAUGGGUAAAGAAGCACCGGCUAACUACGUG